CCGCAGAUGAUGCUCGGAGGUCGUCUUU
RNAcentral lists this small RNA (28 nucleotides) under Bombyx mori (domestic silkworm). Its description in RNAcentral is "ovarian small RNA-13848". The record is from RNAcentral. Lineage: Eukaryota; Metazoa; Arthropoda; Insecta; Lepidoptera; Bombycidae.